RNAcentral lists this ribosomal RNA (366 nucleotides) under uncultured eukaryote. RNAcentral's name for it is "partial 18S ribosomal RNA". It matches the Rfam family "Eukaryotic small subunit ribosomal RNA", at positions 592 to 976 of the family's 1831-position model. The record is from RNAcentral.
CAAUAGCGUAUAUUAAAGUUGUUGCAGUUAAAAAGCUCGUAGUUGAAUUUCUGGUGGGCGCGCCGGUCUUCCAAGUGUUGUACUGGGCGCAGUCCGCCAUCCUUGUGGAGAGGGCUCGCAUUGAGUUGUGUGUCGGAUCUGCAUCAUUUACUGUGAAAAAAUUAGAGUGUUUAAAGCAGGCUGUCGCUUGAAUACAUUAGCAUGGAAUAAUAAGAUAGGACUUCGGUCUAUUUUGUUGGUUGCGAACCGAGGUAAUGAUUAAUAGGGAUAGUUGGGGGUAUUCAUAUUUAAUUGUCAGAGGUGAAAUUCUUGGAUUUAUGAAAGAUGAACAACUGCGAAAGCAUUUACCAAGGAUGUUUNCAUUAA